Molecule: ribosomal RNA, 458 nt
Filed under: uncultured bacterium
Lineage: Bacteria
Description: partial 16S ribosomal RNA
Rfam family: Bacterial small subunit ribosomal RNA
Source: RNAcentral
CCUACGGUGUGCAGCAGUGGGGAAUAUUGCACAAUGGGGGAAACCCUGAUGCAGCGACGCCGCGUGAGUGAAGACGUAUUUCGGUAUGUAAAGCUCUAUCAGCAGGGAAGAAAUAGCGACCUUUGGGUCGCCAGACGGUACCUGACUAAGAAGCCCCGGCUAACUACGUGCCAGCAGCCGCAGUAAUACGUAGGGGGCAAGCGUUAUCCGGAUUUACUGGGGGGAAAGGGAGCGUAGACGGCAGCACAAGUCUGAAGUGAAAUGCCGGGGCUUAACCCCGGAACUGCUUUUGAAACUGUGCAGCUAGAGUGGAGGAGAGGUAAGUGGAAUUCCUAGUGUAGCGGUGAAAUGCGUAGAUAUUAGGAGGAACACCAGUGGCGAAGGCGGCUUACUGGACUGUAACUGACGUUGAGGCUCGAAAGCGUGGGGAGCAAACAGGAUUAGAUACCCGAGUAGUC